Molecule: ribosomal RNA, 301 nt
Filed under: uncultured bacterium
Lineage: Bacteria
Description: partial 16S ribosomal RNA
Rfam family: Bacterial small subunit ribosomal RNA
Source: RNAcentral
CAGCAGCCACGGUAAUACGGAGGGGGCUAGCGUUGUUCGGAAUUACUGGGCGUAAAGCGCACGUAGGCGGCUGUGUAAGUCAGAGGUGAAAGCCCGGGGCUCAACCCCGGAAUAGCCUUUGAGACUGCAUAGCUUGAACACGGGAGAGGUGAGUGGAAUUCCGAGUGUAGAGGUGAAAUUCGUAGAUAUUCGGAAGAACACCAGUGGCGAAGGCGGCUCACUGGACCGUUGUUGACGCUGAGGUGCGAAAGCGUGGGGAGCAAACAGGAUUAGAUACCCCUGUAGUCCCUGUCUCUUAUAC